UCACCCCCAUAAGCCUGAUUCUGCACCUCCAGCCUGAUCCCCCCUCCUCCCUCCUUCCCCCCAGCUCUGACCCCAACCAUCUCCCACUGCCCCCCAUCCUGGCGCUGGGAGCUUGGGGUGCAUCCCCCAGGAGUGGCCCCGGGGCUCUGCCAUGGGCAUCCGCUCUGGCUGCUCCUGCUGCCUCGGCUCCCACAGCCCAGGGGCGAGUGGAAUUGUACGAGGGACAGGCUGAGAGAGAUGGGGUUGUUCAGCCUGGAGAAGAGAAGGCUCCGAGGAGACCUUAUAGCAAUCUUCCAGUACCAGAAGGGGCUCCAAGAAACUGGGUGAGGAGCUAUUUACAAAGGCUUGUAGUAACAGGACUAGAAAUAAGGAAGAAUAUCUUCACCAUGAGAGUGGUGAGGCCCUGGCCCAGGUUGCCCAGGGCAGUGGUGGCUGCCCCAUCCCUGGAGGGAUUCCAGGCCAGGUUGGAUGGGGCUUGGAGCCCCUGAUCCAGUGGGAGGUGUCCCUGUUCAUGGCAGGGACAUUGGAACUAGAUGAUGUUUAAUGUCCCUUCCAACCUAAACUGUUCUAUGAUUCUAUGAUUUUUUCCUCCCCCAAGAGCUUUCCCUUGGAGCUGGAGCUGGCACUCAGGACCUGAGCUGCUCCCAGUGCUGUGCCUGCUGAGCAGGACCACGAUGGGGAGCUGCGCCUGUGCCCAGAUCUGUUGCGGCUCUGCUGGAGUGAGGAGCAGUGUGUGUGUGUGCAGCCCUCCUGAGCCGAAGGCUGCGAGGAGAAAGGCUCCUACCUGGGAGCCGAGGGCCUGCCCGAACUCCUGGUGGAGUGGGGGCUGCCAAGAAGCAGCGGGGCCGUGCAAGAGGUAGGAAGUGGGGAACGCCUGCUCAGGGUGUCAGGUUGAGGUGAGAGCAGGGCUGUGAUCAAACACAAUCUGCAGGGUGAGCUGCCACUGGCGUUCUGGGGCAACUGAAGUUUGUCUUUUUUCCUCCCCCAGGAACUCCUGCUUAGAGCUGGUGAUGAGGAACUCGGUUGCUCCGGCUGCAGCAUCUGAUGUGGAGAUGUGUUUGUGCCCUGUCCACAGCCCUGUCCCAGCUCUGCUCUGCUUCUGCUUGGACAGACUGCACUGCUGGAGUAGAAGAAAAGCAUCAGUGUGGGAAGCCCUCCUGAGCUAAGAGUGCGAGCAAAAAGGCUUCCCACACUGGAUGUCAAGGGAAGGGCCCCUACUUCUUGCAGAGCGGGCACUGCAAUGGGGUGAUGCUUCCCCAGGACUCGACCUGCAUGUCCGAGGCCUUCAGUCUAGGUGCUCAGCAGCUCAGCAGGAGACAGAGGGCCCUCUCCAUGCACCCUGGCUCUAAAGGGGAGCCCUUUAGAGGGCCCAGGCUGCUGCUCUCUGGCUGCUGCCAGGACAGCCCAGGCUCUGGUAAGGGUGUCCACUCUGGCUGCUCCUGCUGCCUCGGCUCCUGCAGCCUGGGAGCAACUGGAAUUUGUCUUUUUCCUUCCCCAGAAACUUUGGUUUGGAGGUGGACAUGGUGCUGAGCAGGUCACCAACAGCUGCUGCUUGGCUGGGAGAGCAGUCAAGCUCCCCACACAGCUAUUUCUCCUCACUCCAGUAGUGCAGUCUGUCUGCAAAACCAGCCCUGGGCCCAGCGCACGAGCGCAGCUUCACAUCAGAUGCUGCACUGAGAUUGGCUAAUGAGAAUUGAUGUGUGCAGCACUGGGGGGAAAUGGGGCAAAGGGCACUGUGGAACCCACUUUGAACAGCAUUGGCAGGGCCACCAAUAAACCUCCGAUAGAAACAGAACCGCUUGGUUAUUGUUCCAUCUCAUCGGGGUAGAUUUUCUAUCAAUAGAAUAAAGCUUUUUGUCCUUUCUUAUUGGCUUUGCCUCUUGUUGAUGCUGCAAAAAGCGGGGAGCAUAGGGAACACCUCCCUGGCUGGUUUGGGAGUGUGGAUGGGAGAGAUGGAGGGCCGGAUCCUUCCUCCCAGGGUUUGUGGAGCAUCGUGCCCCAAGAGGGGGUAGGACCGAGCACUUUGGCUCUGGGAGGUGUACUUCUCCAUUUACUCUAUAGGAGCUGUAGUGGAAACCUGGACCUUGGGCUCAGGAACGUUGAUGGGGAAGGUGAUGUUGGGCAAGAAUUUGGCUCAUUCUCUGUUUUGUUGGUUGGGUGAAGGAAACUGAGGACAGAGAGAGAAAUAAUAGAUGGGAGGGCACAGCGUUCACUGUCCCCUCUUCAGCCAAGACCUGGGGUGGAGGUGGCUGUGGGGAGGGGAGCUGUGCUCACAUCCACUCUGAUCUGCGCGCUGCAGCCAGGGGUGCUGACUCCCAGCUGGAUGAUGCUGGCAGUCAUCCCCAUCCCUAGAAAGUCUCAAAAUAGUUUUUCCAGGUCCUGAUGCUCAGGAUAAACCACCAGCAAUGUUAGCAGGGCAUUGUGCAGAGCAGCAGAUGCUGCAUCUUACUAGUCCACGUACCCCACAAAGCCAGUGUGUACUGGUAGAGCUGGUCCAGGAUGGAAGACUACCUCCAUGAUGCUCCUGCAGCACUUGCUGGCAGCCAAGCCCUGAGCAAUCCCCUUGCACGGGCUGAUGAUGGAUGGAGGAAGGGACUCAGAAUGAGGGGAGACAGAGCACUGACGGCAGGGACAGGACAGGACAGAGAAAGAGAUAUCAGGGCCAUGGAUGCUGACAGCCCCAAUACCCUUGGCUUCAGCUGUUUGCAACCGCAAAGCUCAGAGAGACCCCAAAGCCCACCUCAAGAAAGGAAACCGAGGCAGAGGAGAAACUUGGUGAGAAGAGAUUUGGUAAGAAGAGAUUUUUUAAUUGAACUCCAUUACAGCUGUUACAGGGUUCUUCUCAACUGCUGAGGAGUCUGGCCAGCACGGUACACGUGGUAAAUACACCAGCUACGAGGAUACAUGGGACGAGUUACUACAAGAUCUGUGCUUUUACCUGUACAGGAGGAUUUUGCCAGCACUCUGCCUGCCCACAUGGAAAACAGCUGCACCCCACGUGCUGCUGUGGCUCUGCCUGGCUUGUGCAGUGUCCCCUAGACCACCCAGCUGUGCUCUGUGCUCCUGUCAGCAAGAAGAAAGGUGGGGACAGGAGGGAGGCUGUGGGAGUUGCUCCAGGGAGGUGCUGGGGUUUGACAGGACCUGCCAGGGGCUGGGGAGGGGGCUGGGAGGUGAAGCGGGGGCUGUUUUGGACGGAUAGAAGUGAAUGGGCCAACGGACACCUAGGGAAGGUGCAAAUCAGUAGAGUAUGACCAGCUCCAGCUGCCCCCUCUGCUCUGCAUCAGUGUCAAGGGCAGGUACAGCCCCCAACCCCAGCACAGGCAGCAGAGCUGGAUGCUCAGGGAUGGGGGACUGCACACCCCUUGGACCCACAGCACUGCCAGCAUGGAGUGGUCAUCCUCUUGCAAAGCCCUCUGCCCUCAGCACCAGCCAUGCCCUCUGCCCCACUGCAGCCUCGACUCCCUCGACCCUUCCCUUUGUGACUUAAAACACUCUUGGGCUACCUCUGCACGCCCAAGCCAGCAACACUAUCCUGCUCCGAGCAGCAGGAUCCAGGUGGUUAGGAACCGAGUGGCGAGCCCAUCUAGGGAAAGGGGAUCACAGGCAGCAGUUCUGCCCUCCUUCUCCCACCACAUGGAGGCAAACUGCAAAGUGCUUGUGCUCACAACUAGAAUCGUAGAAUCACUAGGUUGGAAAAGACCUUUGAGAUCAACAAGCCCAACCACACCUGUCCACUACUAAAUCACAUCCCUGAAUACCUCAUCCACCCGUCUUUUAAACACUUCCAGGGAUAGGGACUCAACCACCUCCCUGCGCAGCCUCUGCCAGUGCCUGAGAAUGCUUUCAGUGAAGAAAUUUUUGCUCAUGUCCAACCUGAACCUGCCCUGGUGCAGCCUGAGGCCAUUCCUUCUCAUCCUAUUGCCUGCCACUUAGGAGAACAGACCAACACCCAUGUCGCUACACUUCUGGGCAAUUGCAGACAGUGAUGAGUUGUCCCCUUUGCCUCCUUUGCUCCAGGCUAAACAACCCCACAUCCCUCAGCCACUCCUCAUAACACUUGUUGUCCAGCCCCUUCACCAGCUCCAUUCUCUUCUCUGGACAUACUCCAGCCCCUCAAUGUCCUUUUUAUAGCGAGGGACCCAAAACUGAACCCAGGAUUUGACAUGUGGCCUCACUGAGCACAGGAAUUGAUCCCUUCCCUGUUCCCGCUGGCCACGCUGUUCCUGAUCCAAGCCACAGCUCAAAAGACAGGUGGGGUCCCUUCUCUUCCUUUCCGCUGGGUCCCCAGGGCAGCUAGAUAUGCUGGGGUGGGGAUGGCCACCCACCACCCAUAAGAAGUAAAAAAGUACAAAUCUGCCCUGCUCUCCAGUGAGAAUUGGUGUGCAGCACCAGGGGGAAAUGUGGCACAGGGCACUGUGGAACCUGUUUCAAACAGCAUUGGCAGGGCCACCAAUAAAUCUCCGACAGAAACAGAACUGCUCGGUUAUCAUUCCAUCUCCUCUCUCGGGGUGAAUUUUCUAUCAAUAGAAUAAAGCUUUUUGUUCCUUCUUAUUGACUUUGCCUCUUGUUGAUGCUGCAAAAAGAGAGGAGGA
Molecule: long non-coding RNA, 4592 nt
Organism: Cuculus canorus (common cuckoo)
Lineage: Eukaryota; Metazoa; Chordata; Aves; Cuculiformes; Cuculidae
Exons: 2
Source: RefSeq, a predicted model, not a curated record